CGACAGGGGAGCCGAAAGGCUGAGAGUGUCCAGGUGGACAGACCCUCGCACCUGAACCAGGUAAUGCUGGCGCAGGGAGUCGAGUC
This 86-nucleotide non-coding RNA is filed under the name Varibaculum timonense. RNAcentral describes it as "TPP riboswitch (THI element)". It matches the Rfam family "TPP riboswitch aptamer (THI element)", at positions 7 to 92 of the family's 105-position model. Rfam says of the family: Vitamin B(1) in its active form thiamin pyrophosphate (TPP) is an essential coenzyme that is synthesised by coupling of pyrimidine and thiazole moieties in bacteria. The previously detected thiamin-regulatory element, thi box was extended, resulting in a new, highly conserved RNA secondary structure, the THI element, which is widely distributed in eubacteria and also occurs in some archaea. The record is from RNAcentral. Lineage: Bacteria; Bacillati; Actinomycetota; Actinomycetes; Actinomycetales; Actinomycetaceae.